UGCCAGCUCUUCUUACUCGGGGCUAAGUUU
This 30-nucleotide non-coding RNA is filed under the name Rattus norvegicus (Norway rat). The record is from RNAcentral. Lineage: Eukaryota; Metazoa; Chordata; Mammalia; Rodentia; Muridae.